ACAACGGAGAGUUUGAUCCUGGCUCAGGACGAACGCUGGCGGCGUGCCUAACACAUGCAAGUCUACGAGAAAUCCUGCUUCGGCGGGAGAGUAAAGUGGCGCACGGGUGAGUAACACGUAGGUAAUCUGCCUUUAGGACGGGAACAACUCCGAGAAAUCGGGGCUAAUACCCGAUGAUGCAGCGGCACCGCAUGGUGAAUGUUGUUAAAGGUUUCGACGCAAGUCGGAAUGCCUAUUGAUGAGCCUGCGUCCCAUUAGGUAGUUGGUGAGGUGACGGCCCACCAAGCCUACGAUGGGUAGCUGGUCUGAGAGGAUGAUCAGCCACACUGGAACUGAGACACGGUCCAGACUCCUACGGGAGGCAGCAGUGAGGAAUAU
RNAcentral lists this ribosomal RNA (378 nucleotides) under Ignavibacteria bacterium. Its description in RNAcentral is "bacterial SSU rRNA". It matches the Rfam family "Bacterial small subunit ribosomal RNA", at positions 1 to 364 of the family's 1533-position model. Lineage: Bacteria; Pseudomonadati; Ignavibacteriota; Ignavibacteria. The record is from RNAcentral.